CCUCCUUAUCUUGAAGUAGAAUUGCUUAAUGGAAGUCUUCGGAUUUCACGAGUGUUCACACAAAUUGUAUGAUAAUGAAUUAGAAGAAACGAUAGGUCUGUAGCUCAGCUGGUUAGAGCGCGCCCCUGAUAAGGGUGAGGUCGGCAGUUCAAGUCUGCCCAGACCUACCAACUUAUUGCUAAAAUCAAUUGGUGGAUUCUUCUAAAAUAAAGAAAGAGACCAAACUUAAAACAUCAUAUUAUGAUGAGUUAGGUUUGGUUUUUACUCUCACUAGAGAGAUUAAUCACUUUUUUAACCGAAUGCGUGUUAAGAAUGAGUUCUUUAACAAUCUGGAAAGCUGAUAUAAAUAUCGGUAUUUAUAUGUUAAACACGGUGUCGCGCUGUUGUUCAUACGAUUAUAAAUACCACGCUGUUAUCUCAUUCUCUUAUCGUGAAUGGGCUAAUGGUGAUAGUGCGUUCUCCCAAGAACGUAUUAUCGAAUUCAUACUACUCGAAAGAGUAAGAUGUCUUAUCAAGUAACUCAUC
Molecule: transfer RNA, 525 nt
Filed under: uncultured Colwelliaceae bacterium
Lineage: Bacteria; Pseudomonadati; Pseudomonadota; Gammaproteobacteria; Alteromonadales; Colwelliaceae
Description: partial 16S-23S ribosomal RNA intergenic spacer
Rfam family: tRNA (bases 94-167)
Source: RNAcentral